This 123-nucleotide ribosomal RNA is filed under the name Gorgocephalus sp. Aus. Its description in RNAcentral is "partial 5.8S ribosomal RNA". It matches the Rfam family "5.8S ribosomal RNA", at positions 33 to 154 of the family's 154-position model. Rfam says of the family: 5.8S ribosomal RNA (5.8S rRNA) is a component of the large subunit of the eukaryotic ribosome. It is transcribed by RNA polymerase I as part of the 45S precursor that also contains 18S and 28S rRNA. Lineage: Eukaryota; Metazoa; Platyhelminthes; Trematoda; Plagiorchiida; Gorgocephalidae. The record is from RNAcentral. RNAcentral also lists the same sequence under 1 other name.
UGUCGAUGAAGAGCGCAGCCAACUGUGUGAAUUACUGUGAACUGCAUACUGCUUUGAACAUCGACAUCUUGAACGCAUAUUGCGGCCAUGGGUUAGCCUGUGGCCACGCCUGUCCGAGGGUCG